This 72-nucleotide transfer RNA is filed under the name Camelus bactrianus (Bactrian camel). It matches the Rfam family "tRNA". Rfam says of the family: Transfer RNA (tRNA) molecules are approximately 80 nucleotides in length. Their secondary structure includes four short double-helical elements and three loops (D, anti-codon, and T loops). The record is from Rfam by way of RNAcentral. RNAcentral also lists the same sequence under 1 other name. Lineage: Eukaryota; Metazoa; Chordata; Mammalia; Artiodactyla; Camelidae.
GAGGGUACAGCUCAGCGGUAGAGCGUGUGCUUAGUGUGCACAAGGUCCUGGGUUCAGUCCCCAGUACCUCCA